Molecule: long non-coding RNA, 1066 nt
Filed under: Lotus japonicus
Lineage: Eukaryota; Viridiplantae; Streptophyta; Magnoliopsida; Fabales; Fabaceae
Description: long non-coding RNA (LJAP_LNC001417)
Source: RNAcentral
AUGAUAUACAUAAAAUCAAAGGACAAGGCAAUGUAUCUUGUAAUUUACCAAAGGAAGUCUCUUCAAGUUCAGGAAGAAUGAGUCAAUGUAAUAUUUCUGGUGGCCGAGCAUGGCGUUUUCUACAUGAACCUCAUGAGCUGAAGGAAAUUUUUUCCCAUAAGUUCUGUGUAACCACUCAGCUCCCAUUCUUAUCACAUCAUCUUCACAGUCAACAGCCAUCUUAAGCUUUGGAGGCUUUGUUGAAUUUGUCAGUAGAGGUGCACUUGUGGAAGUUGAAAGCAAGUAACCCUCUUGGGAAGUCAAAUACAUGUGGCCACUGUGUAACUCAACUAGUUCUUUCAUUAGGUGUCCUACACUAUAAAGUGCAGUUGUGACACCCACAACUGCCAUAAUACUUUUAUUAGAAGAGUCCCAAACUGGCAAUGCUGCUGAAAGCAAUGGUGAAUCAGUAAACUUGCUCACUGCAACAUGCCAUGAAGCUACACCAUUCUUGUAAUUGAUAGUUAUUGAGUUGAGAGCUUUCCGGCUAGAAAAAAGCGCCCAUGUUACAGCCCUCAUGAUUACACCUACCUGCACAAAGUAUAAGUCAUAAUUUGCAGACACCCAAAAGUACAGCAGGAUAUCUAGUUACUUAAAACAGAAAUGAAUUAGAGGCAUUUAUAAGUUUAAAAAGUAAUGAUAUACAUAAAAUCAAAGGACAAGGCAAUGUAUCUUGUAAUUUACCAAAGGAAGUCUCUUCAAGUUCAGGAAGAAUGAGUCAAUGUAAUAUUUCUGGUGGCCGAGCAUGGCGUUUUCUACAUGAACCUCAUGAGCUGAAGGAAAUUUUUUCCCAUAAGUUCUGUGUAACCACUCAGCUCCCAUUCUUAUCACAUCAUCUUCACAGUCAACAGCCAUCUUAAGCUUUGGAGGCUUUGUUGAAUUUGUCAGUAGAGGUGCACUUGUGGAAGUUGAAAGCAAGUAACCCUCUUGGGAAGUCAAAUACAUGUGGCCACUGUGUAACUCAACUAGUUCUUUCAUUAGGUGUCCUACACUAUAAAGUGCAGUUGUGACACCCACAACUGCCAUA